This 1934-nucleotide long non-coding RNA is filed under the name Canis lupus familiaris (dog). RNAcentral's name for it is "lncRNA (ENSCAFG00845012368.1)". Lineage: Eukaryota; Metazoa; Chordata; Mammalia; Carnivora; Canidae. The record is from RNAcentral.
UUUUUUUGUAUUAGUAAGACUAUAGUUGAAAAUAACAAUGAGAAAAAAUAAGGUCUAAGCUAAAAAGGUUAAAGCCAAAAAUAAAUUAUUACUAAUUCACAUAGUUAAGUUUCAGAGGUAGUUCUAACUUUAAACAUAACUUAAUUACAUGUUAAAAAUCUGGCAUCAAGAGGAAAAUGGCUUUAUCCUCCUGCUCUAAAACUCAGCAACUUAAAAUUAGAUUUAUUGGUUUCUGACUGCCUUAUUCUAGAGUCAAUUACCUACCCAUUCCUGAACCUGUCACUGUGGCCUGUGGUAUGGGAGAUUCUAAUUGGCUCAUCUCGAUCUACAUUUUUUUGAAUGGAGCUUAAUGGACUAAGAGCUGAAGAGGGUGAUACCACAAACAUACUACACUCCCCCACCUCUAUCAAACCAGGGUGCUACUCUCAGGAACAGAAUAAAUAAAUAUUUGAGUGGACAAACACAAUGGAUUUCUACUCCAAUGAUCUAAAGCAAUCUAAUGCAGAUGAAAUAAGGACCGUGGUAAAAUAGGAGAUUCAGAUCCAUAAUGGAACAUACUCCUGUCUGGUUGAAUAACAAUAAUUCUUACCAAAAAUUCUCUUUAGCAUGUAGCAAAGGCUAGCCAACAUUGCAUUCCCAGAAAAGACAAACUAUUAAUACUAAACAUUUCUUAAUGUAUCACUGAUCAUUCACUUGCUCUUUCUGUCAUUAUUUCUUCCCUCCUUUGUUCUUUCUCUUCUCUCCCAGGAUUCCCUUUGUCAAACAUUUAUUGAUCACCUCCUAUGUGGAACCUACAUGUAAAGUGAUAAAAGAAAUUUCUGCCUCUAAUGAAAUUUAUGAUCUAGUUAGAGAGGUACUACAGAAGAAAGUGUACUCUAUUAUAAAAAAGCAGUGCCAGAUAGGACCAGGCAAGUAUAAUUUUGGAGUGUAGCAAUAAUGUUACAAUGGAAUUAAAAUAUGGCUUGGGGUCAAAAGCCCUGGAUCCUACUCCUAGUUCUGCUUCUUACCAGCUGUGUGAAUUUUGGAAAGUCAUAUAAGCAAUCUGAGGCUCCAGCUCUUCAUCCAUGUCUUAGAGAUGAUGCCACCUGUCUCACAGCAAUGUGGUGAGGAUCAAAUGAAUGACAUAUGUGUAAAUGCCAACAGUAUUCUCUGACACAUAACUGGCAUCACAAAGUUUCUAAAUAAAGUGUUGUGGGGUUUUCAUAAGAGGAAGAAAUAUUUUAAGCUGCAGGAACCAGGGAAGACUUCACUGGAAUGGCUUUAAAAUUCAUAGAAUGGGAUAACACAAAUGGAGGGGAGAGACCACUCUACUCUCUGGGGAAAAAUACGCAAAACAAUGGAAACAAAACAGAGCUUUUUAAUGAAAAUAGACAACAUACUCUUAGCCAAAAUAGUGAGGUUUUGUUUGUUUUGUUCUAGUCUAAUUCUUUUCUCAAUGAGUUUUGUGCAGGUACUUAAUAUGUAAAACAGCAAAGGGAACCUGCUAUUGUUGAAAUAAGUGUGAGAAGACUCCCUAUCUCACAAUCCCACAUACCUGCCACUAAGGAAACUAGGGCUUUAUAAUGCACAGUUUUGAGACCAAUGCAAUGUUAAUAGAAAAACCGGGCUGGAGAUCAGACAACAUUCAGUGACUAAAGACAGAUCUAAUUUGUAGUUUUGCAAAUAUACCACACUCUCUCAUCUUUCAUACCUUUGCACAUGAAGACUCUUUUAUUGGAACGCAUCCCUCAUAAAUUCACCAGUGUCUUGUCCUUUAAGAUUCAGUUCAGCAAAUCCUUCCUUGAUCUUCUUUGUCCAUCCUUUAAGCUUCUUGCUGAACUAAGUGCUAAUUCUCUGAGCCACUUGCUGAACCAAGUGUAUAAUUUUUCUUGAUCCUCUAUGGAUAUGAACUACUUGCUCAUUAUUAGGAAGCUAGUUUCCUCCUUCCAUCACUC